RNA transcript from Balaenoptera ricei (Rice's whale), 7965 nucleotides. It is a transcript of the gene named polycomb group ring finger 3, with no coding region annotated. The record is from RefSeq and is a predicted model, not a curated record. NCBI's taxonomy places the organism in Eukaryota, Metazoa, Chordata, Mammalia, Artiodactyla, Balaenopteridae. The transcript has 12 exons.
CCAGGCCCCGCCCCUGCCCCGGCUGCCGGGUGGGAGACGGUCCGCGCAACGCGCAUGCUCCAAGAGCGGCGCCCCCGACUCUGCGCUCGGCUCUGCUCGGGCAUUUCCGCCUCUUUGUUUUAAACUCCGGACGGGUUUUUUUCUCUUGCUCUUGGGGGGGACCCGGAGGGAGCGGCGCCCCCUCCCUCUCCCGGCGCGGCCCCCGCGUGCGCCCCGCUCGCCCGAAGCUGAGACGGCAGGUAAAGGAAGAGACCAUUUGCCUGAGCAGCCGAAGCUGCUGGUCCGGGAAGCCAGGCUCUGUGUGGACGGCACGUGUGGGUGACGCCUCGUCCCGUGUGUCUCCACAGGCUUCAAAAAUGUAGCGGACGAUCCGGCUGUGUGUACAGAAAAUGGAAAGACAGCGAGAGACACAAGGCAGGCACAGACGUGACGAGCCAGAGCGCAGAGGGCACGGCGGACGAGGAGUGACCGCGUCGCACCCGUAGCCGGAAGCGUCCGAUGCAGAGGCAGCAGGAGGGGACAGACGGCCUCGCGAGGAGAAGCCAAAGAUGUUGACCAGAAAGAUUAAACUCUGGGACAUAAACGCCCACAUCACCUGCCGCCUAUGCAGCGGGUAUCUCAUCGACGCGACCACGGUGACCGAGUGUCUGCACACGUUCUGCCGGAGCUGCCUGGUGAAGUACCUGGAGGAGAACAACACGUGCCCCACGUGCAGGAUCGUCAUCCACCAGAGCCACCCUCUGCAGUACAUCGGUCAUGACAGAACCAUGCAAGAUAUUGUUUACAAAUUGGUCCCAGGCCUCCAAGAAGCGGAAAUGAGAAAACAGAGGGAAUUCUACCACAAAUUAGGCCUGGAAGUGCCUGGAGACGUCAAGGGGGAGACCUGUUCUGCAAAACAGCACCUAGAUUCCCAUCGAAAUGGAGAAACCAAAGCGGAUGACAGUUCGAACAAAGAAGCGGCCGAGGAGAAGCAGGAGGAGGACGGCGACUACCACAGGAGCGACGAGCAGGUGAGCAUCUGUCUGGAAUGCAACAGCAGCAAACUGCGGGGCUUGAAACGGAAAUGGAUCCGCUGCUCAGCCCAGGCCACAGUCCUGCACCUAAAGAAGUUCAUUGCCAAAAAACUCAACCUCUCGUCUUUCAACGAGCUGGACAUUUUAUGCAACGAGGAGAUCCUUGGCAAGGACCACACGCUCAAAUUCGUCGUUGUCACAAGGUGGAGAUUCAAGAAAGCACCGCUCCUGCUGCACUACAGACCCAAGAUGGACCUGCUGUGAGCCGCGGCACAGCAAAGACUCAGCCGCCCGGGGGCCCCGCGAGGACGCAGCCAGGUGGGGCCGCCAACGCGUAGGGUGCUGCCCUGGGCGCCGUUUGGACUGGAUCCCGAGCAGAGAAUACGUAUCACUUCUGUAUGAGAAUCGCACUCGCCGAGACGCCCCGGCACAGGGUUGCAGGCGGGACGCGCCUCGCGGCCGGAGCCACCUCUGCUCCGGCUCGCCGACCAGCGGGAGGGUGCGGCGACGGCCUUCAUCCCGACCCGUGACCUUUGCUUGCUUUCCAGGUCUUGAAAAUCUCGGUCACUUCCGUUCAGUUUAUGAAUUAGGUUUCACGAUAAGCCCCCAAAAUAACUUGUACGUUUAUUGAAUCCUUCCUAAGUUAUUGACAAAAUGUCUUUUCACGGUGAAUGACGAUAUUUAUGUUGCCUUUAGCUUCCUGAAGACUUAGAAGAUAUAUAAAAAUUUAAUUUAAAAGCAUACCAAAAGAGGUUUCCAUGAGUAUCGUGAGUUAACCAUGGUAUUUCAUUUUCCACGUCAGGGAACGUGAAGCCGAGGGCUGCCCUGACUCGCGGGGGCCCGCGGCCCGGCUGGGGGGCUGCACCCUGACCCCGAUGCGGCCGCCCCGCCCGGUCAGCAGGGCGGGCCGGAAGACGACAGUUCGCAGGACGAUUCUUGUUCUCAAAAAUUGCUUCUCUUAAAUAGGGCACAGGUGGUUCAGUGCCGUCGUUUUACUUCCCGCUUAUUCUUUCCCAUUUUUGUUUUGCUGAAGAGAUUGAUGGUGGUGGCGGGGGGCCUUUCCCGAGACGGCGCCCCCGUCCGCGGCGGGGCUGGUGCCCAGGGGGCGUGCCUCCACCAAAGCCCCACGUGUGCAGACCCCGGGUCCCACCGCGCCCGCCUUCGGAGGUGGGCACGGAGCAGCUGGCACUCUGGCCGCUGUUGGCGGGGACGCUGGAGCCACAGAGGGCGGGCGGGCGGGCCCCUGCGCGGCUGCGGCUGCCUGUCCAGUGACUUAAUGACCUGCAGCGCGGGCAGACGCAGCACACCCUCUGUUAGCCCUUUCUCCUCCCAAAUGUUAAUAUUUUUGUGGAAUUGGAGAAUAAACUCUUUGCCGGCACAUCCAUUUUUGUUCCUUUAAGGUAGUAACUUGGAAUGUGUGAAGACAGGAACGAGGAGAUGGGCCUUCUCCCGGUGGUAAGCUGGUCCCCGCUCCAUGGCCGUCCCUGUCCGCAUCCGGUGGCUUCUGCCUGACCUUUGGGCUCCUCCCUUUCUGUCACCUCCUGCAUCACCAGGGCCCUGGGGUCCUGGGGCCGCUUCAUUUGGUAGGUGGUCCUGACAGUGGCUUGAGAGCCGGGUUUUCCAUGAAGAACUUCACCUUGGUGACUAGAAUUUUUCUUGAACUUGCUUUGGCAGUGGUGGUUGGGCUCAUCGACGUUCAAGUUUGUUUGUUUUUUUCUGCUUCCUGUUUCAUACUUCUAAAUGUCAGAAGCAGCUCCUUAGUGAUGGGAAAAGCAAAUUAACUCAGUCCAAGUGGUUUUAAUAUAAGGCCUUUCAAAAACAUAAAACCAAGUGUUUCUUAGGAAUUGGUCAAAAUUCAUCUCUUUGUUUCAGCCUGUUAUUCCCGGGACUGUUUGAAUUAUUCAGUUACCUGAGCUUGCUGUUCGUCCAGAUCAUUUUUUAGGGUUACUAUUCAAGGGUUCAGUGAGUAGAUGUGUAUGACUAAGUAUUACCUGUCUACCUCAAAUACACAUUUCUGCUGAAGCAUUCUGUAAAACCGUGUGUUCUCAAUGCAGUUGAAGUGUAACAUUAGAAUUUAGGUAUUUUCCUGUGUGAUGAAAGUAAGGAAGGAUUAAACAGUAUGAGCGUCCAAAUUCAAAUAAAAUUAAUUCACAGGUCAGAUUAAAAUGGACCUGGCUGUAUAAUCUCAUAGUAUAUAUUUGUAACUUUGCAGCUAUCUUUGCAAUCACUUGAAUUUGCUAUGGUGCUAAGUUGAUGUACUUAAUACACAGAGAGGUGGAGAUGAGUCAGAGCUGGCGUCACCACCCCCACUGGGCCCUGACCACCUGCUGAUCCCACGUUUGUAACCGUGUCACCCUGAUGAAACCUCAGCAGCAGAAGUACCCAUUUUUCUAAGAUGUCCUCGUGCAGACCGUCUUCACCACAAGAGAUCCCUGUUCCCGCCACCUCUGGUCUGACCACAGCCUUAUGGGGACGGAGCUGGGGGCCUCGCCGUCAGAGGGAAACUUUCACUUUUCUCUCAUGUCCGUUUAACAUCAAAGGCAGGAUUUUAUCUUUUCCAGCAUGAAAGCCAGGAUCAGUUAGAGAUUGGAUCCUAUUAAGUUUUGUUUUGUUUUGUUUUGUUUUAACGGAUGGAGUUACUGUGAAGUAGUUUUCACAGCUAUUUAUGCUGGUAAAACAAACGCUGUCAGUUACCGAACGGCACCCUCAUCAGCAGCGUGGGCCCGUCAGCAGCACAGGGUCUCACUAGGUACAGGCGUCAUGAAAAUAGAAGAUUCAGAUAGAAUAUAUAAUAUUGAAUUUAAGAUUUGGGGGGUUAAAAAGAAGAAAACUUAACUUUAUAAAAUUAUUUAUUCUAUUUUAAGCCUUCUAUCAUAUUUUCCCAUGCAAUUGUUUGGUUUCAGUGGUCCAGCUUUAUUUACAGGCAUAUAAGGUAAAGUUGUGAGGUGUUUGGCAAGCUUCUUCUUUUUACUUUGAGUAGCGUUUCAUUUGUGUGUGUUGUUGUACGUGGACGAGGAGCAGUUUACGCUUCUGUGCAACAGGCUGCAGCGCGCGUUCACUAGACUUACGUUGCAUUGUCCGUAGCGUCUGUUCUGCUGAAUUGAGGCAGUGUAGGCAGACUCUCAGAACGUGUACGUUCAGCUCUUUGGUUUUCCUUUUCCGUCGUCGUUCUCAUGAAAACACUGCUGCUGGGAGUGCGCGUGGGCCUGUGCAAGGGGCCUGGGCCGUGGGUAAGAGUGAGUGACCGGCCAGCGGCCGCAAGGUGACACGUGGCCUAGACUGGCCUCGUGCCUCAGACCCCGCGUGCUGGUGGCCCGGGACGCACCCCUGUGUCGACCACAGAUGUGACGGUGCUACUUCCCCAGGCUCCUGAGCCCGCCAGGGCGUGCGGCCUUGAUGCCUCCUCGUGGCAUUUGAGGUCUUUAGAAAUUCGUUUGUUUUUUCUUCAAAGCCCACAGGAUGGAUUUUACAGUGAUUUUGAAGUGUGUCAUUGGAUUGAAUAUUAUAGGAACAAGCCAGCUGAUUUCUACUUUGUACGUGAAUAUUUGAUGUGCUCUCAAAACAUUGAAAACACAUGUAGUGCAGAUAAAUCACAAAAAGUUCAGUUUCUCCGUUUCCUCAGGAAAUCAUUUACACUCCAGCACAUCACAUGUGACCUUAGUGUGAUAAACCAAUGUGUUCCUCUGCCUUGGUAUUUAAACAAACUAAAUAGGUUAGGAUAAGUCGGUUAGAAAACGAUUCAAGUGACACCGAAAUCAUCACUGAGAUUCUGUCCCUUCCUGGGGACUGCCGGGCCCCUCACCAGCUCACGUGAGUCUCCGCGUCCAUGGGUGCAUCUGAAGUUUACGUGUCCCCUAGAACGUGUGUAGCAUUAGCGUAAAUGUCUAUUUCAACAGCUUCAUUGGGUGCAAGAAAACCAUUUUUCCCGUAUGAUGCAGCGUUCAGGGGCGAGAGCCCUUGCCGACCCUGGCAUCCCGUGUGGAGAUUGGGGGCUCUGGGGGAUUGUGGAGGUGACGCUGCAGACAAAUGUUUUUGACUGUUUAGUUUGGAAGUUUACAUUUUUUAUGCUUUGUGUUGGUGUGUAAUUUUUUGUACUCUUGGUGGCUAGUUUUUAUCUAAAAUCUUUUUUGGAAUAUUGCUUAACUGUUUUGAUUUUAUGAUAGUGAAGCUUGUACUCAGUGUUUUGCCAAUUGAUAUUAUAUGCUUGUAAUAAAAGCAAAAGGAAAACCUACCUAGUUCUCUGAGGCUGGACAUUUGUUACCUAAGAUGUUUGUAAGAGCGUGAGAUAGGUGCCCUGUUAAGGUGAUACAGUGUAACGAAGAGUCCGUGGGUAUUGGUGAGGGCGCAUACACGCCACACCAGGCCCUCCCCUCCCACCCCCGGCCUGGACCCUCACAGGUUAAUGACUCUGCCCCACAUGGUGUUUGUGACUGUCACCUUGGUUGCAGAACUUCAUUAAGCUGGCCCAGUGUUGGCACCCGAGGUUUGGUGGGGCCUCUGGGAGCCCACACUCGCCUGUUUGCUUGGAGAGAGAACUGUCUUUGGUUUGCAGCUGUGUGUGCCAGGGAGCCUGUGUUAAAGAAAACCUCUGAUCCCGUGAGCGGUGGACCGCCGGUGGGAGUUGCACCCUCUCUUGGCGUGUUAGGACACGUGUGCAUACACGUUUCUCGUGAGGGUGCCCUCUGCCUCGCUUUUGUUCUGUCCAGGCCUUGGUGGGGGGCGGUGAGUGAUACCCACCCACACGGGAGGGCCCAGCCCACCGGCUCUAAGACUCAUCUCUUCUGGGAACACCCUCACACACACACCAGAGUAAUUUUAAUCUCGGCACUGGGGCCCUGCCAGGUCGACAUGUGAAAUCAGCUAUCGCAGACAGCUUACUAUACCCAAAACUUCUAAUUUUUAAAGGUUAAGUAAUUUACAGCAAUCUUGAAAAUCUGAGGAAACUAGAAUUGAAAAAAAGGGAGAAUAUGUUGACCAAAAUUAUGCUCUCGUGGGUUUCAGAUCAUUAAACUUAAAAGAUAAAUUUAGUCUUAAGAAACUGAUUUUACCUAUUUUACUUAUGUUCGGUAAGUCGUUUACUCCACCUAACGAAUGUCAAGAUGCCAAAGCCGCGUGUAAACGUCCACGUUCACCGAGGCGCUGGGCGAACAGCAGGGCUGGCAGGAAGCAGGCUUCAUCCGGCCCCAUUCGCUGGGCUCCACAUGGGCAACGAGCCGGGGCCCCAGACGCCAGGAAAAGGCGACUCCAGGGAAGAGUGAGAAGGAGAUUAGCCAGGCCCAAGGCUCCCCUGCCCCCCAGCGCCUGAGCCUGGGAGGAAGGGCUGCUGACGGACAGUUAGCUGCGCCCACCCGUAGCGCUCACGGGAGAUCUGCUUCUCCAGCAAGACUCUGUUUGCAUGAACAUGUAAGUCCCGCUUUAACCGGCAGCGCUGUUGCAGAUGUGAUCCUGCAUCCCGGGCCGUGAGACAGAGGCUUUGGAGGCCGCAGGAAAGGAGCACACAGCACGCACGGCCAGGGGCCUCCGCCAUACCUGCUGCCUGGCCGAGGGGAGGUGGGGCAUCUGGUUAUGUGGAAUAGAGAAAACACUGGUGUUUGUACCGCAUCUGCUGGUCCCGAGAGCGGCUGGUGGGUGUCCUGGACGCCCACCCAGGCAGCAGCGUCACAGCAAACACACGGACCCCUUUGCUCCUCUGCGGGCUGCAUCUGCACGGCUGCAUCUCGAAGAAUAUUGGCGGUGAAGGAAGCUUGCUGUGCGUUCCGACUUGAGUGAGGAGAUUCUAAACGUCUCCAUUUAAGCACAGUUGUGGAGUUUUGAUAAAUACCGUUGACUAAGUCGAGAAAUUUCCUUCUGUUAAAGCUCACUAGACAUUUUAGAAUGUGUAAUUUCCAUUUUUUAAAUUACAAAUUUUAAGUAAAAAAAAAAAAAAUUUAACCUUUCUGUUUUGUUUUUGGAUUUUUAACACAUACACAGAUUCAUGCAACCACCACUACAAUCAGGACACAGAAUGGCUCCAUCAUCCCAGGACCUCCUGAGUGCCGGUCCUUUUCUGCCACCACCCCCCGUAAUUCCUGGCAACCACUGAUCUGCGGCAUUAUAAUCUUGCCUUUACCAAGGCCAAGGCGGCUCCAGCUCCCGCUCAGGUUCCCACAAAGGCUCCCGAGUAGAGACCUUUAUCUGCCCAUGUGAGGACAGAAGGACUAGUGUGACCCCUGGGCUGCUGUCUGCAUGGGGCUGGUGUCCUGUGCUAUUUGUACAAGUAAACCUGAGGCAGGAUCUGUCAAAAAAAAAAAUGUCGUGUAAAUAGAAUUGUACACGUCACCUUUGAGACUGGAUUCCUUGACUCAGCAUACUGCCUUUGAGAUCUAUCUGAGUGGCCGAAUAGUUCAUACUUCCUGUGACAUGGAUGGACCACAGUUUGCCAGUUUACCUGAUGAAAGGCUUUUGCAUUUUCAAUUUUUGAUGAUUGUGAACCUCAUGUACAGGUUUGCAUGUGGACAUAAGGUUUGUUUCUCUACAAAGUAGGAUUUCUGGGUCGUAUGGUGAGUGUAUGUUUAACUUUAAGAAACUGCUGAACAGGAUUUUCCUGAUGAUUCAGUGGUUAAAAUCCGCCUUCCAAUGCAGCGGGCACGGGUUCUAUCCCUGGUUGGAGAACUAAGAUCCCACAUGCCGCGUGGUGUGGCCAAAAAAAAGAAAAAGAGAAAAGAAACCUCCGAACGACAGUUUCCAGACUGGCUGCCCGACUUUGCAUUUCCAGCUGCAAGGCCUGAGCCAUUCCAGGCACCCCACAUCCCAAACUGUCAGUGUUCUCUUUGAUUUUAGACGUUUUUGAUGGUGUGUAGUGGUAUGUCAUUGUGGUUUGAAUUCGCAUUUCCCUAAUGGCUUUGACGUUGGUCAUCUUUUCAUGUGCUUAUCUGUCAUUAUAUCAACUUUGGUGCAGUGUCUAUUCAUGUCU